Molecule: ribosomal RNA, 368 nt
Filed under: uncultured bacterium
Lineage: Bacteria
Description: bacterial SSU rRNA
Rfam family: Bacterial small subunit ribosomal RNA
Source: RNAcentral
GCUUAAGGGUGCGUAGGCGGCUAUUCAAGUCAGAUGUGAAAUGCCUGAGCUCAACUGAGGCAUUGCGUUUGAAACUGAUUUGCUAGAGUGUCCUAGGGGUGUGCGGAACUGCCAGUGKAACGGUGAAAUGCGUUGAUAUUGGCAGGAACACCGGAGGCGAAGGCGGCWCACUGGGGCAUAACUGACGCUGAGGCACGAAAGCCAGGGGAGCGAACGGGAUUAGAUACCCCGGUAGUCUUGGCCGUAAACGAUGAGUACUGGGCGGGAGGGGGUUUCCCCUUUCUGCCGUAGCGAAAGCGUUAAGUACUCCGCCUGGGGAGUAUGGUCCCCAGGCUGAAACUCAAAGGAAUUGGCGGGGGAGCACAACA